AGCGGGAAUCUUCCGCAAUGGACGAAAGUCUGACGGAGCAACGCCGCGUGAGUGAAGAAGGAUUUCGGUUUGUAAAACUCUGUUGUUAGGGAAGAAUGAUUGUAUAGUAACUAUAUACAGUAGCGACGGUACCUAACCAGAAAGCCACGGCUAACUACGUGCCAGCAGCCGCGGUAAUACGUAGGUGGCAAGCGUUGUCCGGAAUUAUUGGGCGUAAAGCGCGCGCAGGUGGUUUAAUAAGUCUGAUGUGA
This 251-nucleotide ribosomal RNA is filed under the name Gemella sp. GL1. RNAcentral describes it as "partial 16S ribosomal RNA". It matches the Rfam family "Bacterial small subunit ribosomal RNA", at positions 354 to 597 of the family's 1533-position model. The record is from RNAcentral. Lineage: Bacteria; Bacillati; Bacillota; Bacilli; Caryophanales; Gemellaceae.